CUGCGUCCUGGCACAGGAGGCACCGUGAUUAUGAAGGCGGUUCUCCCAGGUCGAGGCCUGCCAUUGCACUCCGACGGUGCUGAUCCUUGCGAUUAACCCAAAUGUGGUUAACUCGAGUGGAUAACUCGAGUGUGAUUGUGAAGCAAAUGCUCAAG
Portunus trituberculatus (swimming crab) is the source of this 155-nucleotide small nuclear RNA. RefSeq annotates it as U1 spliceosomal RNA. The transcript has a single exon. The record is from RefSeq and is a predicted model, not a curated record. NCBI's taxonomy places the organism in Eukaryota, Metazoa, Arthropoda, Malacostraca, Decapoda, Portunidae.